AAGUGCGGUGCGAACACAAUCGAGGGGGGAUGGAUGGUGCGCUGCGGGCAAAAAUCCUGGCGAACCUUUCUCGAGAGCCCCGGCAGCCCCUCUCUGCCCGCCCGCUCCUCCGAGGGCUCACGGGGACAGCGGGGCAAGCGGUGCGGCGAACGCGCUGCCGGAGACGGCACUCUUCCUCCCUCUGUUUUGUGCGCGGUUUGUUGGUGGUGGUUGGUUGUUGUUUGUUUUUAAUCCUCUUAGGCUGUGUGGAUAGUAGGAUAUGUAUGGCCUCGAGUGUUGGGAAAAGCUUGUUGCCGAGCUCUGGGAGAGUGAGUGAGAGAAGGAGCGACGCAAAGAGCUCUGCCUGGAUGGAACAGCAUCAGCCAGCGCCCUGCCCCGCCGGCUGGAGGGGCAAGCGAAACCCCACGCCGAACACACACAUACACACACACACUCCACGCACGCAAACGCGGGGGGAGGGUGACGUCACUCCGCUCCGGCCCGGGGCGCAUCCCGGCGGGCAGCGGGCGGGGCAGGAUCGGGCCGGGUUGCUCCUGGCUGUCCUGGCCGGACGACUUCGGCAAGUCGUGAUGCUCGUCAUCUCCCUCCCUCAAAACUUCCUUCGGGAAGGAGGAACUGAGAGAAUGUUCUUGAGAGGUUGUGACAAAGUUCAUGAAGACAAAGAAAAGGUCUCGUGGUCUUUGUCCCACUGUCACAAGAUGAUUCAAGCUGUGGGAUAAAUGAUCCAAGUGAUGUGAACAGAGCACUAUCCACCAUGAUGUAGCAAACUAAAAGAUCCUGGAGGCACUUAAAAUAAAAAGGAUGAACCUCCUUCACCGCCCCUUCACCCCAUCAAAAAACAUUGGAAAAGUGAGAAAGAAGAGCUGCUUCUCCACAAAGAUAAAAAGAAGCUUUUUACUAUAAAAAGGUAAAAGAAUAUGAAUUAAUACAAUAUAAAAGGUCUCAUGAGCAGUAAAUUAAACAAAUGGGAAAUAAAUCUAACUAUGUACUGCAAGCUCAGCAGCAUGGAGUAAAAUAAAGAAUGAUGUACACACAUCACCACAUCACUUUGUAUCUCCCUCUUGGAAAUAACAUGGAAGAGACAUAAGCAUUCUGGGGUCUGUAGUCCUCUCUUAGCAGCUGUCAGAUCAUUGCAGAAUGUCAUGAUAUAAUAUACCUAAGGAAAACCGUGACACAACUACAAUAUUUCUGCCACAUUACAUGUAUAUAUGAAUGUUCUUUCAACUGAAAAUUAGUCAGUAUUGAAAAUACUAUAGAUUACAAAUUGUUAUUAAACUAUCAAUAAAACCAAAUGUAAGCUGGACAAAAAGAAAAAAAGAAUGUUUAUAAAAAUAAUGUAAGAUGAAUCUCUAAGCUGAAUCUCUCUGCUGUGUAUUCUCCCUGUACCUCACAGAAAAAUAACUGUAUUCUAUAUUUCACCAUACAACACUGAAUAAAUCUAGUUUAACAAUGAGAACACCAGCUGUAAGUACAAAAACAAAAACAAAAUCUGACAAACAAAAAAUGUAAUAAACUUAAUUUAGGUUCUCAUUUCCUACAAUGCUAACAGAGUGCUAAUAGAGAGUGUCUUUAAUCAGCUUGUAUAUUUUGUCUGGGUUUCUUCAUGAAUAAAAAGUUAGAGUCAGUGAUUUAUCAAGCUAACAUAUAUUUACCAUUUUUUCUUCUGCACAGUAAAAGCUUUGUAUUUCAAGGCUUCACAAGAAUUUUACAUUUUAGUAUUAAGCAAGCUCAGCAGGGAGACCUUUGCAGAGCGGAUAACAUUUCAGGAAAAUUAUUAUAUAUAGCACAAUUAUAGAGCUGAGCAAAUAGCUGAUUUCUUGGUUCACUGACAAUUCAGAAAAGAGGAAUUCAGCCAACAUAAGGUGAAUUUUAAUCCAUUCUCCAUCUCAAGAAAUAAAUCAAAGAAGAAUUUUUUUGAAUGAUACAAAAUGUUUGCUAUUUCAAACCCAGGAAUUUAUAAAGCCUCAGAAUGAGAAAAGAAAUAUAAAGCCAAAAUGUCAAUUUCAGUAUUUAAUUCAAAAUAAUAUCAGUUUUCCAGUUUCUGUCAUGAGCUAUUUUCUCAAACAUUCAACCGGACAAAAUAUUUUCAUGUUCACAACUCUUGUUUUUCAUCGAAGAAGAUACAGCACUGCUGAAAAUUAUUUUCCAUAUCUGCUAUAACUGUGGGUACAAAACUGGAUUACAAAUCUUCAGGUAUAUUAUACUUCAUAUGUAUUUAGUAAGUGAAGUCUUACCCAAAAACUUUUUUUUUUUUUUUAAUUUUUUAAAUUUUUUUAUUUUUUUAGGGAAUCCCAAUCUUAAUCUUUUUUUUUAAUAAAUCUCCUUUUGGACUAGAUGUUUCUGCAUUAGGAUUUCCUUUCAUUGAUCCAGUUUAGGACGGGCUCUAACAAUCUAUUUGCAUGCUGUAAGGAGUAACAAUUAUCUCUCAGUCUUUUUCAAGACUGACAUUUGCCAGUAGAAUGUGAUAAGAAGAAACAUGUAAAACCUUUCACACUCAUUUUGAUUUGAAAGCAAUAUACUUUUCUUAGGAUGUUACUUACUUGUUCACAAUGAAGUAAUAGUAAUAUCCUGUAGCACUACAGGAUGUUCAAAAGCUUUGAAAAGGAUUGCUUAUAUCACUAACAUCUGGUGGAAUUCAAGUGGAUUCUUUAUACCAUCUUUCAGGAGCUCAAUAGUAGCUGCUGGAAACUCAUUUCAGACAAAUGUGCAAUGUUUGCAAUGAAUUUGUCUCCAAUUUUGAGAUUAUCUGCAUGCAUUCAGUACUGUGGAAAGAUUUAAUGCUUUAAGAUAUUAGAUGAUUCUAAGGGUAAAAAUAAGAAAGAAAUUGCAAUCUAAAGACUGCACUAUUGAGUGAUUUGCUUAUUUGUAGAUAUAAGGUCAGUUGGAUAAUGAAUUUCCUACUACAAUUCUCUUAUGUAGGUGAAUGAAGAACUUGUUGCUGCAGCAGGAAACCUCCACACAACAUGACUUGACAAUUCUUAUUGUAUUUUGUUUCAAUUUAAAUUGUUUGUUCAGUGUAUUGGAUUAUAAAGUAAAAUACCUAUGUACAAGACUGUAGCACAACAGUUUUGUAAACUGAGAAAUGAGAAUUGGUCGCAUAGAUGACCACAGCAAUUCUGAACAAUUGUCUACAAAAUCUUGUAUUCCAAGUCUCACAUAUAGUUACCAGAAAAAAACUUAUUUCAGAAGAGACCUAUAAAAUCUGAUGGGAUUGAGGAAAAAAUAUCACAAAAAUAUUUUAUUCUAUAACUAUGAAAUAAAUAAUUGACAUAUUCUGAAAAUGAAGAUACACAUUGUAAAAAAAAUCAUUUAUUAGUCACAUAUUCUUCAUAAACACAUCUACUUUUAGAAAGCGAUUUAAGCAAUACUUUUUCCUUAAUAUGAAAAAUAAAUGAAAAUGAAUUUAGACUUACAUUCUGCAUAUUAGAUAGAUUAGAUAUCUGUGUAUUUAGAGGUUAGGAUGAAUGCAUAGAUAUUUCAUCAGUUUCUUUUUCUUUAUUAUUUAAUUGGCUAUCCUUUAAAUUGUUGUGUAAAUUAAUAUGUUAACAUUCUGUGUAAAAUAUAUAUAUAUAUUUUCACAAUGAUAACACAUUAGUCAUAUAGAUAGUACUUUUAUAAAUGAGGAAUUUCUCAGAACAACUUCCUCUGAAAUUCAUUCAAUACUGAUAAACUUGUCAGUCUAUUUGGUACAGAAAUCUUAGUGCAUUUGCAAUUAUUUCUAGUUCUUUUCUAAAUUUAUUUAUUUAUGUAUAACUUUAAACUUAGAUUUUAAAGCUUAGAAACAUGUUCUGUGUUUCCAAGUCCCCAUUAUUUUCUUCUAUCCUUUAUUAAUAAACCUUAAGUUUUUAUAACCUUUUGAGGGUUAUUUCUGCCCAUGAUGACAGAAUGAGUUUGUUCACAUAAAACCAAGUUAGACUAAAACUGAUAAAAUGUUCAGUAUUUACAGUGGUUUACAUAAUGUUUAAUAGACAUUUAAUUAAUAGGCAUUUAAAUCUGAACAGUCUGAUUCACAAAUUUUCCAUGACAGUAGUAACAAUUCAUUAUUUCAUAUGCAAUGACAGUAUGCUUAAUCCUUGUAAGGCAUGUUAAGAAAUCCUAGUGAGUUUCAAGCCAAAUGCAUUUUGAAAGAAGGGAAUUAUAGGAUUCUGAUGCCUUUGUGAAAACCUUCAGUAGUUUUCCUACUGUCUAUAAAGUUGCAGAGGAUAAAUUCAAUUUUAAAAAAUUCAAAAUGAUAUCUCAGUCUUAUGUUAAUGACACAGUCUAAAUAAAUACUGGUUCAGGAAGUGGUUGAAUAGAAGUUCUGCUCUAGGAAGUCAAAACUGGUUCUUUGUAUACUGACAAGAUGUUCUGAAGGAAAGAUUUCAGAAUUAUGUUCUUUUCCAAUCAAAGCAGAAAAAAAAAAUCUCUUAUGUUCUUCUUACACUUUCUUCAUAAUUUUGCAACAUAAUAUGUUUUCUAUGCAGAAAUUGAAAAAUUAUGAUGUGGAAAACAGAAUGUGUUGAAUACUUAAUACAUAAUUUUCACGUAGAAAGAAACAGAUAAAUUCAUUUUAUCUCAGUUUGUCCUUGACUGUGCUCAAAUUUGACUAGCGUCUGUUCUGAUAUUGAUGUAGCAAAACUGAACUUUCAUGACAAAAUCACUUAAGUCACACCCAAUAUUAUUGUCACCAUUACUCUUAAAUAAUUCUAAAUCAGAAUAGGUCAUCUAGCCUAAUACAUAGGCAUUCAUCCAAUGACAGAUGGUGGUGUCACUAACAUAAAAUGGUCUCCAAACAUGAAAGUAAAUAGACUUCUCAGGGGAAAUAUUUUAAUUAGAAAUGUUUUAUCUUGCAACAUCAACAAAUACAUGGGCAAACUACUGGCAUUAUACAGAAUAAACUUUGUCUAUGCAAAAGAUUUCAAGCAAAAUAAUGAAGAAAAUGUAAAAAAUGAACUACAUAACUGAAUGCACUGAGGAUUUACAAAUUCUUAGAGUUAUAAAUGCAAUUUUGAACAGUUUUUAACUGUUUUCAACCAACAUGCUCAAAAGCAUUUGUCAGUGAGAACUAUUACGAAUUUUCAAGUGAUUUGCAACUUCAGAAUUUAUAGUUCAACUGUGAACAUUGAUAUUAUGACAUAAUCACAGCUUUAGCUAUACUCAAAUUUUCGUUGGUUUCAGGAAUUUUUAAACAGACCAUCAUAUUCAUUUCAGUGAUUGAAGUAAAAUGUUAUGAAUAAUUAUCACUUGUGGCAUAGCUGAAAAUGUGGAAGUAGAAACAGAUCUUAUGUUCAGAGAUUCCUCAGACCCUAGCCUGCCAAAAACCUAAAAAAAAACCGAUUGCCUUCAUCUUCACACACAAAUAAACAUGAUCACUGAGCAUACAUUAACUUCAAAUAAACAAAAAUAAGUGGGAAAAUAGACUAAUUUGGUAAUGAUCUUUAGUUUUGGAUGAUAACUUUUUGGAUGAUCAUAUGAGCUGGCUGAAUUGGCUUGUCAGGUAUGUACGGAAUAGUGGUAGGCAGAAGAAUAAGGAGAAAGUGAGAUGUAAUACUGCAAGUUUAAAUUAGAUUUGUAGAUUGCUGCUGAAAUUCAAAAAGGAAAGGAAACGUAGAUAUUGUUCCUAAAACAUUUCAAUGUUCCCAAAGGGUUCCUCUGUGAUAAUUUUCCUUAUAAAUAAAAAAUGUUUUUUUGUCCACAAGCAAGGUACACAUCUUAAGCAGUAUCAGAACAUAGAAAUAUUCCUUGUACUCAGAUGUCACAGACUAACAAUUUAUGCACAUCUUGUCACUCAGCACAUUUUUCUAUAAAUAUUAUUACAAAUAUGAACAGAGCAGUGUUGUCCUCGUUAGAAUCAGCAGUGUGGGUUCUGGAAAUAGAUAAAGAAAAAGCAGUAAUAUGAUUAAAAAUGUAUUUUUGUUUAGUUGUGUAUCAGAGACACAUGUGUAGAGGUCUAAAGUAGUUGAACCCCUUCUGAGAAGAGUCUGAGUUGGAGAACAUGUGAGCAAGUGAGUAUGAAGUAGUGGACAGGAGGCAGCUUGUAGAGUCUAUACAAUAGCCUUGAGAGGAGCUUGUACUUGCACCAGCAUUCCCAUAGUGCUACAGACUUCAAGUAUUACUCUUGGUAUUAUUUACUCUCAGUAAAGCAUGCAUCAGUGCAAGAUUUGAAGAAGUAUUAAUUCAGUUAGUAAAACACUUCAAAAAUUAUUUCCUGGUGAAUAUUGUCCUUUCCUAUCCAAAUAUCUAUUUGAAAAUAAAUAUUAAAGGACAUAAGUU
Coturnix japonica (Japanese quail) is the source of this 6252-nucleotide RNA transcript. RefSeq lists it as uncharacterized. NCBI's taxonomy places the organism in Eukaryota, Metazoa, Chordata, Aves, Galliformes, Phasianidae. The record is from RefSeq and is a predicted model, not a curated record.